GCCUUGGUGGUGAAAUGGUAGACACACAGGACUUAAAAUCCUGUGGGAGCAAUCCCGUGCCGGUUCGAGUCCGGCCCGAGGCA
Molecule: transfer RNA, 83 nt
Filed under: Streptobacillus moniliformis DSM 12112
Lineage: Bacteria; Fusobacteriati; Fusobacteriota; Fusobacteriia; Fusobacteriales; Leptotrichiaceae
Rfam family: tRNA
About the family: Transfer RNA (tRNA) molecules are approximately 80 nucleotides in length. Their secondary structure includes four short double-helical elements and three loops (D, anti-codon, and T loops).
Source: Rfam by way of RNAcentral